This 961-nucleotide ribosomal RNA is filed under the name marine metagenome. RNAcentral's name for it is "bacterial SSU rRNA". It matches the Rfam family "Bacterial small subunit ribosomal RNA", at positions 48 to 1015 of the family's 1533-position model. The record is from RNAcentral.
UUAACACAUGCAAGUCGAACGAUGAACACCGGAGCUUGCUCUGGUGGGAUUAGUGGCGAACGGGUGAGUAACACGUGAGCAAUCUGCCCCCGACUCUGGGAUAACCCCGAGAAAUCGGAGCUAAUACCGGAUACGACACCUCCUGGCAUCAGGUGGGUGUGGAAAGAAUUUCGGUUGGGGAUGAGCUCGCGGCCUAUCAGCUUGUUGGUGAGGUAAUGGCUCACCAAGGCGACGACGGGUAGCCGGCCUGAGAGGGUGACCGGCCACACUGGGACUGAGACACGGCCCAGACUCCUACGGGAGGCAGCAGUGGGGAAUAUUGCACAAUGGGCGCAAGCCUGAUGCAGCAACGCCGCGUGGGGGACGACGGCCUUCGGGUUGUAAACCUCUUUUGGCAGGGAAGAAGCGAAAGUGACGGUACCUGCAGAAAAAGCACCGGCUAACUACGUGCCAGCAGCCGCGGUAAUACGUAGGGUGCAAGCGUUGUCCGGAAUUAUUGGGCGUAAAGAGCUCGUAGGCGGUGUGUCACGUCUGCUGUGAAAAUCCAAGGCUCAACCUUGGACUUGCAGUGGGUACGGGCACACUCGAGUGCGGUAGGGGAGAUUGGAAUUCCUGGUGUAGCGGUGGAAUGCGCAGAUAUCAGGAGGAACACCGAUGGCGAAGGCAGAUCUCUGGGCCGUAACUGACGCUGAGGAGCGAAAGCGUGGGGAGCGAACAGGAUUAGAUACCCUGGUAGUCCACGCCGUAAACGGUGGGAACUAGAUGUGGGGUCCGUUCCACGGAUUCCGUGUCGCAGCUAACGCAUUAAGUUCCCCGCCUGGGGAGUACGGCCGCAAGGCUAAAACUCAAAGGAAUUGACGGGGGCCCGCACAAGCGGCGGAGCAUGCGGAUUAAUUCGAUGCAACGCGAAGAACCUUACCAAGGCUUGACAUAUAGAGGAAAAGUGCAGAGAUGCACUCCC